Molecule: long non-coding RNA, 819 nt
Organism: Hemicordylus capensis (graceful crag lizard)
Lineage: Eukaryota; Metazoa; Chordata; Lepidosauria; Squamata; Cordylidae
Exons: 2
Source: RefSeq, a predicted model, not a curated record
ACUGGGGCAGAAGGGUGUGGGGAGAGGUAACCACCGGCCCCAAAGAGUGCACAGAUGCUCUGUGCGGGGUCAGCUAGUUUAUGAAAAAUGUUGAACAGCACAGAGUCCAGGACAGAGUAUUCAAUUCGGUAUUCCGUUUGAUACCAGCUGUGGAUCCAUCUAAUGAAAGCAUCACCAAAUCCACAUUUUACCAACUUGCUGACUAGGAUAUUGUGGGAUAUCCUUUGUAAAAUGCUUUGCUGAGAUCAAGGCAUGCUUUGUCCACAGCAUUCCCCACAACAUUCCUGUGAUCUACUAAAUUAAUAAUUCCAUUGACAAAGGAGAAGAUAUUAAUCUAUCAUUACCUGUUCUUUUUGACAAAUCCAUGUUGGCUCAUACUAAUCGUCAGAUUCUUUUCUGAGUGCUCACAGACGGGCUGCUUAAUCUGUUUUAGGAUCUUGCUGGGUAUACACCAAGCUGACAUGUCUGUAGUUCCCUGACUCCUCCAUUUCCCGCUUUUGACAACAGGGAGAACAUUUGCUUAUCUGGUGUUCUACAACCUCACCCAUUCUCCAAGAAUUCUCAGAGAUUACAGACAGAUUAUAGAAAUGAAUUAAUUAAUAAUACUACAAAAAGAAUCCCUGCUUGUUGAUCUGUGAAAAAAACCGUUCAAAAUGUCCUCUUCCUCAGCCAGUCAAAAACUUGAGUACUGCUUACUGCCACAAUACCUUAACUAACCUUUUGUAAUAGCACCAGUGGACAUUUUGCAUUUCUCUCUCUCUCUCUCUUUUUGUAUUUAAAUGCUUUCAUUAGUAUUAUAAGUAAAAACAGAAAAUGUUA